This is a small nucleolar RNA of Erinaceus europaeus (western European hedgehog), 129 nucleotides long. NCBI's taxonomy places the organism in Eukaryota, Metazoa, Chordata, Mammalia, Eulipotyphla, Erinaceidae. The record is from Ensembl.
ACUGCCCCUAGAGGCGUUACAGAUGUGACUGCUGUGUCACAUGUGUGUCUUUAUGUGGCAGAGAGAAGAGGCUUGUCUACGUCCAGUGCUCUGACCUGUGAGCCUCUGGGUGAGUGAUAGUCUGACAUU